AUUGAACGCUGGCGGCAGGCUUAACACAUGCAAGUCGAGCGAGUGGCGGACGGGUGAGUAAUGUCUGGGAAACUGCCUGAUGGAGGGGGAUAACUACUGGAAACGGUAGCUAAUACCGCAUACCAUCGGAUGUGCCCAGAUGGGAUUAGCUAGUCGGUGGGGUAAUGGCUCACCAAGGCUACGAUCCCUAGCUGGUCUGAGAGGAUGACCAGCCACACUGUAACUGAGAAACGUUCCAGACUCCUACGGGAGGCAGCAGUGGGGAAUAUUGCACAAUGGGCGCAAGCCUGAUGCAGCCAUGCCGCGUGUGUGAAGAAGGCCUUCGGGUUUUAAAGUACUUUCAGCGAGGAGGCGUUACGCGCAGAAGAAGCACCGGCUAACUCCGUGCCAGCAGCCGCGGUAAUAC
RNAcentral lists this ribosomal RNA (406 nucleotides) under uncultured bacterium. RNAcentral describes it as "partial 16S ribosomal RNA". It matches the Rfam family "Bacterial small subunit ribosomal RNA", at positions 30 to 526 of the family's 1533-position model. The record is from RNAcentral.